RNAcentral lists this ribosomal RNA (966 nucleotides) under human gut metagenome. Its description in RNAcentral is "bacterial SSU rRNA". It matches the Rfam family "Bacterial small subunit ribosomal RNA", at positions 541 to 1520 of the family's 1533-position model. The record is from RNAcentral.
UUAUCCGGAUUUAUUGGGUUUAAAGGGUGCGUAGGCGGUUUGAUAAGUUAGAGGUGAAAUUUCGGGGCUCAACCCUGAACGUGCCUCUAAUACUGUUGAGCUAGAGAGUAGUUGCGGUAGGCGGAAUGUAUGGUGUAGCGGUGAAAUGCUUAGAGAUCAUACAGAACACCGAUUGCGAAGGCAGCUUACCAAACUAUAUCUGACGUUGAGGCACGAAAGCGUGGGGAGCAAACAGGAUUAGAUACCCUGGUAGUCCACGCAGUAAACGAUGAUAACUCGUUGUCGGCGAUACACAGUCGGUGACUAAGCGAAAGCGAUAAGUUAUCCACCUGGGGAGUACGUUCGCAAGAAUGAAACUCAAAGGAAUUGACGGGGGCCCGCACAAGCGGAGGAACAUGUGGUUUAAUUCGAUGAUACGCGAGGAACCUUACCCGGGCUUGAAAGUUAGCGACGAUUCUUGAAAGAGGAUUUCCCUUCGGGGCGCGAAACUAGGUGCUGCAUGGUUGUCGUCAGCUCGUGCCGUGAGGUGUCGGGUUAAGUCCCAUAACGAGCGCAACCCCUACCGUUAGUUGCCAUCAGGUGAAGCUGGGCACUCUGGCGGGACUGCCGGUGUAAGCCGAGAGGAAGGUGGGGAUGACGUCAAAUCAGCACGGCCCUUACGUCCGGGGCUACACACGUGUUACAAUGGUAGGUACAGAGGGCAGCUACCCAGCGAUGGGAUGCGAAUCUCGAAAGCCUAUCUCAGUUCGGAUUGGAGGCUGAAACCCGCCUCCAUGAAGUUGGAUUCGCUAGUAAUCGCGCAUCAGCCAUGGCGCGGUGAAUACGUUCCCGGGCCUUGUACACACCGCCCGUCAAGCCAUGGGAGCCGGGGGUGCCUGAAGUUCGUGACCGCAAGGAGCGACCUAGGGCAAAACUGGUGACUGGGGCUAAGUCGUAACAAGGUAGCCGUACCGGAAGGUGCGGCUG